Coregonus clupeaformis (lake whitefish) is the source of this 252-nucleotide long non-coding RNA. RefSeq lists it as uncharacterized. The transcript is spliced from 3 exons. The record is from RefSeq and is a predicted model, not a curated record. Lineage: Eukaryota; Metazoa; Chordata; Actinopteri; Salmoniformes; Salmonidae.
AGGAGCUGCCCCCUUCAACUGUGCCAAUGGACUACACUUUGGCCGGGGAGCUGGAUCGGAUAUAUAGGAGCCGAAGUCAGGCUCCUUUAUGACCAGUAUCAGUGACGAGAGGGGCUUGGGGCUGCUCUAAGCUGCCAUGCCCAUCAGGCGUUGGCAAACACCUCCGAAGGGGAAAAAGAUGGGCAAAAGAGAUGCUUUUGAAAUUGAGUCCUCUGACUGGUUGACACUGAUGUCUGAAUAGGGAGAGACCUU